UGGGGAAUAUUGUGCAAUGGGGGAAACCCUGACACAGCGACGCCGCGUGAGCGAAGAAGGCCUUCGGGUCGUAAAGCUCAAUAGUAUGGGAAGAAAUAAAUGACGGUACCAUACGAAAGCCCCGGCUAACUACGUGCCAGCAGCCGCGGUAAUACGUAGGGGGCGAGCGUUGUCCGGAAUUACUGGGCGUAAAGAGCACGUAGGCGGCUAUAAAAGUCAGAUGUGAAAAACCUGGGCUCAUCCGAGGGUGUGCAUCUGAAACUAAAUAGCUUGAGUCAAGGAGAGGAGAGCGGAAUUCCUGGUGUAGCGGUGAAAUGCGUAGAGAUCAGGAAGAAUACCAGUGGCGAAAGCGGCUCUCUGGACUUGAACUGACGCUGAGGUGCGAAAGCGUGGGGAGCAAACAGG
RNAcentral lists this ribosomal RNA (405 nucleotides) under Bacillota bacterium. RNAcentral's name for it is "Firmicutes bacterium partial 16S ribosomal RNA". It matches the Rfam family "Bacterial small subunit ribosomal RNA", at positions 355 to 776 of the family's 1533-position model. The record is from RNAcentral. Lineage: Bacteria; Bacillati; Bacillota.